UAGCACUAAUAAUAAUAGCACCUGAC
This 26-nucleotide non-coding RNA is filed under the name Rattus norvegicus (Norway rat). Lineage: Eukaryota; Metazoa; Chordata; Mammalia; Rodentia; Muridae. The record is from RNAcentral.